AUGAAGAACGUAGCGAAAUGCGAUAAGUAAUGCGAAUUGCAGAAUUUCCGUGAGUCAUCGAAUCUUUGAACGCACAUUGCGCCCCCUGGCAUUCCGGGGGGCAUGCCUGUCCGAGCGUCAUUUCUGCCCUCCAGCCCGGCUGGGUGUUGGGCGCUGUCCCCCCGGGGACACGCCCCAAAGGCAGUGGCGGCGCCGCGUCGGGUCCUCGAGCGUAUGGGGCUUUGUCACCCGCUCGGGACGGACUCGUCGGCGCUGGUCUUCCUCCAGGCGACCCUUCGGGGCUCGUCUUCCUUCGGUUGACCUCGGAUCAGGUAGGGUUACCCGCUGAACUUAAGCAUAUCAAUAAGCGGAGGA
This 354-nucleotide unclassified non-coding RNA is filed under the name soil metagenome. Its description in RNAcentral is "partial contains 5.8S ribosomal RNA, internal transcribed spacer 2, and large subunit ribosomal RNA". The stretch from base 1 to 120 matches the Rfam family "5.8S ribosomal RNA", at positions 36 to 154 of the family's 154-position model. The record is from RNAcentral.